GAACGUGUCCUGUAGUGGGGGAUAGCCCGGCGAAAGCCGGAUUAAUACCGCAUACGCUCUACGGAGGAAAGGGGGGGAUCUUCGGACCUCUCGCUACAGGGGCGGCCGAUGGCAGAUUAGCUAGUUGGUGGGGUAAAGGCCUACCAAGGCGACGAUCUGUAGCUGGUCUGAGAGGACGACCAGCCACACUGGGACUGAGACACGGCCCAGACUCCUACGGGAGGCAGCAGUGGGGAAUUUUGGACAAUGGGCGCAAGCCUGAUCCAGCAAUGCCGCGUGUGUGAAGAAGGCCUUCGGGUUGUAAAGCACUUUUGUCCGGAAAGAAAACUUCUGCCCUAAUACGGCGGGAGGAUGACGGUACCGGAAGAAUAAGCACCGGCUAACUACGUGCCAGCAGCCGCGGUAAUACGUAGGGUGCAAGCGUUAAUCGGAAUUACUGGGCGUAAAGCGUGCGCAGGCGGUCCGCUAAGACAGAUGUGAAAUCCCCGGGCUUAACCUGGGAACUGCAUUUGUGACUGGCGGGCUAGAGUAUGGCAGAGGGGGGUAGAAUUCCACGUGUAGCAGUGAAAUGCGUAGAGAUGUGGAGGAAUACCGAUGGCGAAGGCAGCCCCCUGGGCCAAUACUGACGCUCAUGC
RNAcentral lists this ribosomal RNA (635 nucleotides) under Paraburkholderia sp. Its description in RNAcentral is "bacterial SSU rRNA". It matches the Rfam family "Bacterial small subunit ribosomal RNA", at positions 122 to 752 of the family's 1533-position model. Lineage: Bacteria; Pseudomonadati; Pseudomonadota; Betaproteobacteria; Burkholderiales; Burkholderiaceae. The record is from RNAcentral.